GUAUUAUUUUAUAGAAAAAUACGUUAUCUUUGUUACAAUGCAUGAAUGUGACUAAAUUUAUUUUAUCAAAUUUACUAAUUAUGUUGAAGAUGAUCUAACCUAAAAUAUGUGUUGUUGGAUUACAUCAAAUUUGCUUUGGGAGGUCCUGGGGAACACCAGAAGAAAUAGGCAAAACCUUCAGGAGUAGCUGCAGACAUUGAUCACUUAUAAAAAAUCUUUGUACAUACAAAACUCUACAAGUAAAAUAGUACAGCGGUAGCAAAUAUUAUAUAUGUUAUAAUCAUUUUUAUGUGUAAACUUGGCUAUACUAUGAUACUGUUUUUUUAAUCUCUCUGUGAAUGUAUAUUUUUACAUGUGAUUAGUAUGUCAUUAAAAAGAUGUUGAGCAAAACAGAUUACCCUCCAUAAUGUGGAUAAAUCUCAUCUAAUCUUUCUUCGAUUUUAGGAGAAAAGUGUGUGGUCACAGAAGGAAGAUGAGUUCUGCCUUCAGACUUCUUUGGACUCAAAAGUGCAACAUCAUCUCUUCCCUAGUGUGCUUGCCUGCCCUGCAGAUUUUGGACUUGUUAGAUUCUACAGUCUCGUGAGCCAUUUCCUUAACGUAAAUUAAUCUUUUUUUUUUUCUUUCUCUCUUGCUAUAACUGUAUCUAUGUCUAUGCCCUUAUCUAUUAUCUAUCUAUCUAAUUUCUUAUUGGUUCUGUUUCCCUGGAAAGCUCUAAUUAAUACAUCAUGGUUUUUCCCCUCUAGUUUACCUGAGUUAUAUGGAAAGGCACGAGUGGCCCCCACAACUGCCACAUCCCCAAACCGAGGAAGAUUCAAAUAGACAGUAAGAAUAACUACUUCGGAAGGACCCCCUAUCUUCUUGAUAAAAAGACUUAUUUUUCAUAUGCUCAGUACUGAUCAAUAUUGGAGACAUAAGGUAAGCUUAACCCAUGUUCCAUGUUUAUUACUUUCCAAUACUGAAUUCUAUCUUGGAAAAUUAAUAGGGGGAACAACACGUAAUAGACACCAAUUAUAUUUAAAAUAUUAAAUUUGUGAUUAUAGUGAACAAUAGUUCAUUUCUUCCCUGAGCUAGUUUAAAGAGGAAAAACCCUAACCCAAAUGCAGAACUCAAUACCUACUCAGACUUUAUAAUUUAGUAUAUGGGAAAUAGAGACAAUGGACAAAAUAAAUAAAGUAUGUAAUAUACUAGGUAAUAAGUG
This 1198-nucleotide long non-coding RNA is filed under the name Felis catus (domestic cat). RNAcentral's name for it is "lncRNA (ENSFCAG00000053778.1)". The record is from RNAcentral. Lineage: Eukaryota; Metazoa; Chordata; Mammalia; Carnivora; Felidae.